GAUGAACGCUGGCGGCGUGCCUAACACAUGCAAGUCGAGCGAUUUACUUCGGUAAAGAGCGGCGGACGGGUGAGUAACGCGUAGGUAACCUGCCCUGUACACACGGAUAACAUACCGAAAGGUAUGCUAAUACGAGAUAAUAUACUUUUAUCGCAUGGUAGAAGUAUCAAAGCUCUGGCGGUACAGGAUGGACCCGCGUCUGAUUAGCUAGUUGGUAAGGUAACGGCUUACCAAGGCGACGAUCAGUAGCCGACCUGAGAGGGUGAUCGGCCAUAUUGGAACUGAGACACGGUCCAAACUCCUACGGGAGGCAGCAGUGGGGAAUAUUGCACAAUGGGCGAAAGCCUGAUGCAGCAACGCCGCGUGAGCGAUGAAGGCCUUCGGGUCGUAAAGCUCUGUCCUCAAGGAAGAUAAUGACGGUACUUGAGGAGGAAGCCCCGGCUAACUACGUGCCAGCCGCCGCUGUAA
Molecule: ribosomal RNA, 468 nt
Filed under: uncultured bacterium
Lineage: Bacteria
Description: partial 16S ribosomal RNA
Rfam family: Bacterial small subunit ribosomal RNA
Source: RNAcentral